UACGAAGGGGGCUAGCGUUGCUCGGAAUUACUGGGCGUAAAGGGAGCGUAGGCGGACAUUUAAGUCAGAGGUGAAAUCCCGGAGCUUAACUUCGGAACUGCCUUUGAUACUGGGUGUCUUGAGUGUGAGAGAGGUAUGUGGAACUCCGAGUGUAGAGGUGAAAUUCGUAGAUAUUCGGAAGAACACCAGUGGCGAAGGCGACAUACUGGCUCAUUACUGACGCUGAGGCGCGAAAGCGUGGGGAGCAAACAGG
This 253-nucleotide ribosomal RNA is filed under the name uncultured bacterium. RNAcentral describes it as "partial 16S ribosomal RNA". It matches the Rfam family "Bacterial small subunit ribosomal RNA", at positions 524 to 776 of the family's 1533-position model. The record is from RNAcentral.